AGCAGUGUGUACAUGUCAAUCCCAACUCCCAUAGUGAAACUGAAUACUUUUUCAUGUGGCCAUUUUAACAUCUUCUUUGCAAAUUGCCUGUUAAUGUUUUUGAAAACCCACAUAUUUGGGGGGCCAAUAUACGUACCCCUCUCUACUUCAUGGACUAUUGUAAGAAUUAGUUGAAAUAACCUAUUUGAAUAUGUUUGAACAGCAAUACACAAAUGUGUUGACCACGUUUAUGACCUGUAGGGUGAGGGUCAGAAGGAAUGGCCAUCUGGAGACAAACAGGCUGAGUCAGUGGUACCCAUGGAAGGCUUGGGCAGCUCUGCCUGAUGACGUACGGGGAGAGGCACCUGUGAGAAAGGGAAAGGGGCCUUGACCUAGAGAUUUGUUGCUGAGAGAAGGCCACCGGAAAUAGACAAGGUCAGUGAAUACAGGGGCUGGCAGCUCAAAAUGUUGUUUCAGUUGUUACAACUAGUAUAGGGUCCUUCUCUAAUUUGAAAAUGAUCCGAUAAAGAAAAAAACAAUUAAGACACUCCACCCUGCAGCAGGUCUGGGCUGUCAUGGGUGCCCGUGCUGACUUGGACAGAGCAGCCCCAGGGAGCCCUUGAGAGUCAUACCUGGACCCUGCAGGACGCCGAGCUCACGGCCAUCUCGCACUCAGAUGAUGGGGAAGCCGUGCCUCCUUGGCAAGCAGGACCUUGUGAACAGGUAAGACAUUUCCCUGGCUGGAAGUAAACACAGGUUGUCCUUCCAGAUCCAGUGUGCAUCACUGGCUGGCAGGGAGAAGGCAGGGCUUAAGGGCAGUGGGAAGAACUUGAGUUUGUGCAGGAGGAGAAAUGAGAGCUUUUCUUCUUCAGUUCAAGGGUUGCCACUGUAGCUGAUUAUGCAAAGUAUCUGACGGGGGUUUUAUGUUAUUUUACACCAGGUAGAGCUGCUUUGAGGCAGCACUGUUUCCUAGGACAGGGACUGUGCUAGGGCCUGGGGACAAAGUUGGGGACAGAUUGUGCUAAUCUCUGGCUUUCCGGAGUCUCAGCUGGGUUGGGGACGUGGACGGUACACGAGGGACCAAGCAAACAGGGAGAGUGUGGUCCAUGGCAAUGAUGCUCCAAAGGAAAUGGAAAUGGGCAAGGAUAAGGGCUGGGCCAUUUUGGAUUUGGAGGCAAUGCAAGGUCUUUCUGGGGAGAGCACAUUUAAACCAAAUUAAGAAUGAGGAGACGGGCCAGCAGGUGAAGAAAGGCAGACCCAGGAGGGAGGAGGCAUCUCAGCAGUUCCACAGAGUGACAGCAGAGCAGUGAGCUGGUCAGGAUGAGGUCUGAGAGGCCAGCAGGCAUCAGAUCACACCUGGCUUCAUUCGUGCUUCAUGUUUAGAAGUUUGAUUUUACCCUAAGCGCAAAGGCAAGGUAAAGAGUGCUUAGAAAUCCAACAUCAUAACGCCUUGCUGAAGCCUCAACUCAGCGUGUGUAAAGAUUUGUUGAGUGAGCUCAAAAUAAAUAAACAAAUUGAUGUUCUGUGCUUGGAAAACAUCCUGUUUUAUUUUAUUCUAUUUUUAAACUUUGGUUUUGGCUUCUAUUACAUGAAAAAUCACUCCCAUUUAGAUUUAUUUUUGUUAAAAGGCCAAGCUUACAGGGAUGAGAAUAAAACGUCUGAUGCUGAGAAACGUGCCUGAAAUGAAAGGAAAGGUUGAUGAGGCAGAUCUCCACAGCCUUGAUCAUGUGGAGCGCUUUCAGAAACCAUCACCCAUUGUGCAGGUGAGAAGGCAGCUCAGAGACGUGAAGAAAGGUUUGGCAAGGCCACAUCCUUGUGUGAGGUCCCGGGAACGUGUGUCUCUGCUCUGGUGAACUUUCCGUGAGCCCAGGGCAAAUGGUGGCCACCAUGGCCUCAUGGAGUUGCUUGGGCUCCUUUCUGUGGCCUCUGGGACUCUUGCUGUAGGAGUUUGUAGAAACAGGAAGGAUAUAGGAUGGUCAUGGGGGUUCUCAUUACUCCGUGGGGCACUGGAGGCCCGUGUCUGCUCAUCAGGUAGACUAGAGACUCGGCCCCCUAACCUCCCUUUCUGACCACCGAGUGUCCACCUCUGAGACCUAAUCAGGGCUCCCACAUCUUGAGGUUGGCGAGGCGCCCAAGGAGAUCAGUGGAAUUCCACCUUUCUCCUCCCAUCCCAACACUUAAAAAUAUGGGCUGUGAUGAUUUUGGACGUGCCACCUCUACACGUUGGAUCCCCUGUCCUCCUGGAGCCCUUGCCGGUCCUCCUCGUCUUCCUUGAACUUGUCUCCAAGGGAGUCUGCUGUGAUCACUAACAUCACCCCUAUUAUCUGAGGUCCACUGAGGUGUGUCAGGGCUUUGGGACAAACACGUGGCACUCAGCCCAGCUACUGUAGAUCUGCAGCCACCUUGGGUUUCGCCUUUCCUGGCCGGAUCCUACUGGGAACUCUUUGGGGCAAAACAUUUCUUUUGCAAUUUAAUUGUCAGCGGGUGGGAUACAGUAUUCCCUGCCUGAGCUUGAAUUGAAGGAACCCCUAAUCUUCGAGUUCCAGCUCUUGAGAAGAAUGGCAGCUGCUGGAAGAUGUGAACUUGACAUUUGAAAUUGGCUGACACCUGGGAGUUAGUGUGAGGUAGAAAAACAAACAAGGGCUGUGGGGUUGGGUAGAUGUAGGUUCCAGACCAGCUCUGCGCUUCCUGUCGUGCGGCUCCAGAGUAACAACUUGUACGAUCUCUGUGAGGCCUAUUUUUCCAUCUUUAGAAUGGGGGUAGUAUAGUCUACCGCAUAAUAUUUCGGUGAGGAUGAAAAGAAGAGAAUGAAAAUAUCUGUCACACAAGACAUGCUUAAGAGACAUUAGCUCUUAUGUUCCUUUGCCCUCAAUAAUGUCAUGACUCCUUCCAAAAACAGAAAUCCUUCAGGAUAGAAUCCUACCCAUUUUUUGGCUGAUGGGACAUCCGAAAGGACAUAGGUGCCUUUGUUUGGUUUGUGGUAAGUUGACUUUGCACUUUAAAAGGGAAAAAAGGGAAAUGUGUAGUCCCUCAAACAAUGACCCCUUUUAAAGCCUACGUUGGACUCCGAUUUCAAAGAAUAUUCUUAUUAACAUAGUUCCUUACAAAUGGAGUGCCACUCAUCAAAUAUUUAUAAAGAGUAGCCUGAGAAGCCAGUGUAGCGCUUGGCAAGCCUGGGGACAUUUCCCACAUGCUCUGUGGGACGGCGUAGGUAGGGGACACCCUUUAAUUUUGUGACAUGAUUUGGGGGCUCCAGCGCAAGCUGGUCUUGGCAUGGUUUCUCCCAGUUCAGGGCCCGUUCAGGCUUCGCAGGCAACUCCCUUUGAAGUCCAUGGGAGCUCUUUGAAUGGAAAACAUACACAACGGGGUGCUGACGCAAAUAGGAAUCAGGCCUGAUGUACGUGGGGAGUAAAGGUGCUUCUCCACCCAAAUAUUAGCUCUUUAGCUAGGAAACUAUGGUUUGAUCAUUAAAUAAAAGAGCCCCUCCCUGCCCCCCAAACCUCACAAUCUACCACCAGAGCUCCACCAUCCAUUUGCUCAGGAAAUGAUAAACCUGCUGGUUACCUGAGAGUUUUAAUUAAGCAACAGAUACAGACAGUGCAGGGCUCAUUUUGCUUUAAACAUAUCAAUAAAAUAAGCAUUCUCAAUUCCAGGGCAACUUGCUCAAUGAUAAAAAAAACUAAGCAUCACUAUCUUUUGAAAUAUCACUCAUCAAGUGUGAUCAUUUAGAAAAAUAUCUCUAUUAGAGACAGUUAGACUUGUUUUUUAGUUGAAAAUGCAGUCGCCGAUGGAGUGCGAAGCUGCAAUUUGUAGACAGGUUAAGUAAAUUAAAUCACUCACUGUCUUUUUUGUUUUUUUUCUUUUCUUUUUCCUUUUCCAAUGGCUUUAAAAGUUAAAGGUAAUUUGCAAAGAAAAUGCUCGGUUGAAUUGGUUUGUAAUAUCUGUUAAUGAUCUUUAAAAAAAUCCACUUAUUCACAAUCCUGUCCCUGAGGGAAUAGCAGUGUGCUAUCAGAAAAAUUUCUAAAGUCUGAAAUGUCAUUAGCUAGUGAUUUCUUUGAAGUAAAAAGCCCUGAAAAAAUAAAUUAUAUAAGGUAUACAAGUGCGCAGGACAAUCACUUUGAUGAAUAAUAUCUGUGUUUUUCAUGCGGCAAAAUACAACAAUUGAGAUUCAAGCUGCUAAAUUACAGAGCCGUCUUUUGAGUUACGUCCACGUAGGCGUACCUGCUCUGUUUAUUUCACAUGUAUAAGGAGUUCUUCCAUAUAUUUAUAGAUUGUCGAUGUAAAAACAGUAGUGUUAGGAACCAUUUUGAUUAUAUUCCUUGUGUUUACCUUUUGGAAAUACAAGGUGUUGCCUAAAUAUAGGCCUACAGGUGUUCCAUCCAGGAGGAAAAACAAUGGCCUGUUUCAGUGCAGCAGCCUGGAUCCCAGAGCCAGGUGCCGGGAACGGAGGUGCAAACACCAGGCAGCGCCUGGAUGGUUCACUAUUAGAUAACAGAGCUGUGAAAUACUACACCAAAGGGAAAAUGUCCUUCCUGACCCCAGCUGGCUAUCGGUUUUUGCCGGGAAGCAGGGGAGUCUUUGUAAUAAAAUAUUAGUCGGUGUAACUGCUGAUGCUGUUUCAGCCGCUAUAAAUAGCUAAUCUUUUUUUUUUUUUUGAGGGAGGAGUUGGAUUUUACUAAACCAUUGGCUAGAGGUUAAUUAUACAUUUCAUAAGAAAGUAUUUCCUUGCAGCCAGCCUAAAUUUGUUACCUUUUAAUCCUGCUUUACAUAAGAAGGCUGGAAAUAUAGGAGUCUCCCCGAGGUCCUUCAUUAUUGCCAUUAUUUUAUACAUUAGGUCUUUAAUUAUUUUUCCUCAUACAUUCCUUACCUCUUCGCUAAACUGCAGAGGGUCCCAGUUUUAUUCAUUUUUCCUCAAGAAAAGACAUUCUCUUCUUCCCAGCCCAGCUGGCCUCUAAUCACACGUGUGGUUCUUCCCAUUUCCUGCUCAGUAGCUGACAUCAAGAGAGCAAACUGAACCCAGUGAGUCACAACCCUGCUGACUGAAUUUGGAGGUGGGUGUAUCUGACCCUGCAAGUCAUCCUUGAAGCUGUGCUACUUCUCUGAUAUUCCCUGGACCCAGGACGCUCUUGUUUUCAGAACCGCAAUUUGUUUCAGCACAGAAAGCAUAUGCAUUGCAGGACUUAACACUGAUACAGAUAACACUUUUCCUCUCUAAGAAAUUUAAAGGAGAGCUUGUGGAAAAGCUCAUGUGCUGUCUCUUCAGUGGAGAGUUCAAUCCAGGAACAGGAUGUGAUUAAGGAUAUUGAGAUGGAGAGUUACCUUGGAUUAUCUGGGCAAAGCACUCCCCGUUUCUUCACCUCUGGAGCUGUGGAGGAGUAUUCUUCUGGGGACUAGAGGCCACACCCAUCCCUUCUCUGGGCAUGUCAUCUCCCUCUGUCUCAUGGGGAAACUCACACCAUGCACUGGAGCUUCAGUUUUAUGCAGAAUUGAGGCCCGUCGGUGAUGCCGAAAGGUCAGUGCCAGUCAGCCAUGCCAGCCUGGGGAGCAUUCUCAGCCAACCUGUCCUCCGACCAACCUUCCUCCUCAAAACAACCAACCAGCCAAACCCACUUCUGGAGCAUCUUCUGGCCUGCAGGUGGGCAUGUUCCCUCUUCUUGUCUCUUAGCGGGAAGCCCUGAUUUGGCUUCUGUUCCCGGUCCAAUCCAAGUCCCAGCAUCGUUGGCGAGAGGAAGAGCCAUUGCCAUGGACUAAAAGGCCAGUGUGCACGGGCAUCCCCCCACCACCUCUCACAGAUGGAGCAGCCCCGCAAGGCAGACAUCAUAGCCUUCAGUUUACAGAUGCGCGGUACCCUGCAGGACAGCGGGACGAUGAUAGGGAGAUAAUCUGGAUCUCUUCGUCACCAUGUGAAAUGGAGCAUCCUGCCAGCCUGGACCGUCCACUCCGGAGAGUUAUGCGAAAGAGAAAGCAAUUCGAUCUUAGGAGUGAUAUCAGGAUCUGAAACAGUCCAAGUGAAGUAUAUUGCGAGACUCCUUUUGUUGGGUUCGUGUUUGCAUAUCUGAACAAUCUAAUGAGAAAGGAAGUCCAGGUUUUAGCUUUUGCACAUCAGGAAAUGGUUACGUGCCCCAGCCUGGCCUUGCAGACGGGCUGAGGGGGGAACCCUCCUUUCUCCCCUCCCCCUUUCCAUCUCUCACCCUGAAGUCAUCUCCGAGGACUUGGGGUACGCUUGACCACCCUGGAGAAUGGCCAGCGGUCACCACAGCUGCUCCCGGGCAUCGGCCUUGGAGCCAGGCUCUCCUGGGGACAGGAGAGGGAAGAGGGAAGCAGGGGUCAAACACAGCUGCAUUUCCUGGGGCAAGGUUUCCCUGUGUGAGCUCUGGGAGAGGCCUGGAGAGCCAUGUCACGUGUGCCGGCUCAGAGCCCAAGCUGGGCUGAGCUGAGUCCCAGGCUGGGAAUUCUCAGUUUACAAGUCUUCCUUUCUGUCCUGUGGAAACAGAUAGGGAAGGUUAAUGAGAUGAACAUGGCCAAACACUGCUGGCUUCUGAGAAGGAAAAGAGCCUGUUACGCGCUCCUGCAAACACAAGCCCUCUAGAUGGGGACAGCUUCUUACUGAGCUCUCCUCCAGGAAGACUUGAUUGUUUUCAUCAGACAAUUCAAAAGUAGCAUGUAUGCAGGGCUAGUCACUCAGCCGUACAUGCCUGCUGAGUCAGGAAUCAAGAAAACAUCCUAUUUUGCUUCUGACCUUUGCAGCAGCUUUGCCCAACACCUGCCACCUUUCCAAAUACGCAGGGAUUAAUAUCUGGAAAGGAUAGGUCUUUUUAUUCAAAAAAGAAGUUGGGUCUGUGAUGAACUGUGAUAAAAUGAAGAACUAGUUAAGGACCAAAGCCAAACAGUAUAUGGAACGGAAAGAUGAGAUACCUCUUUGGUUGGAGAUUUUCUGAAGAAAAUAUUCCAGAGAAAAGGGCAGAUGGAAAUGUAUGUGUGUGUGUGUGUGUGUGUGUGUGUGUGUGUGUUUAAUGAGUAGUUAAAAAAAAUGAACUCUAAGUGGGAAGAAGAGAAGAAAGAAGAAAUUUGGGUGCAUCUAUAAAAUCGCCACAAUUUAUGAGAGUUUAAAAAGACAAUUUCUUUUUAAGGAGCCAAUUCCUAAUUUCCCACAUAAAAGUAUGGGAAUUGAAUGGUAAAUCCUUCUCGGCCGACAAGACCCCUGAAAAGGGUUGGGAGAAAGAGUUACUGUUCCGUUUCCAUUCAUGUGUCUUGAAAGCCCGUGGCUGCGAAACUGCCCGGGACAGCAGAGGCCUGGGUUUCAAAGCUGCCCGAUGACUUUUCAGAGCUGAUCUAUUGUGGGGCUUUGUUUCGUCUGGGUCGCCCUCGUUUUGUUCUGCUCGGGCUGUAUCACUCUUCUGCCGCUGCUAUUAAUCCACCCUGUCUACUCCUCUCCAUUCAGAGGCACAUUUUAACCCUGCCCCGCACAGGGCGCAGCAUGAAAGGCUGAAAGGCUGAGCAUCACUGCGGGGAGACUGAGAGGGAGGGGAGGGGAGGGGAGUGUGGGGUCCUGGGUGCACAGGCUCACCUGGGUGGCUGGGUGUCCAGGAAGCAAAGAGCAAGGGAGCAAGUGGUGUGAACCAGCUCUGUCCAUCUGCUGGGAGUCGGGCAAGCUGGAACAAACCCUUUUUCUCACACGGUCACCGUCUGGCUGAGCUGCCUGCUCAGGCACCGCGAACUCAAGCUCCUGGAGCCUGCAAACGAGCCGGCCCUUGUUUUUCAGCUUUGAUUCGAUUUCCUUGCUUGUUUUUAAUAGGCUCCUUAUAGCUCAAGUGUUGUCAGACUGGGAUAAAGUGGCAAAAGAUACAGUGAUUUGUGUAAAAAAAGAAAAUUAAAUCAGAAAACUGUUGUUUGGUUAGUAACUCAAAUUCAGUUCCUGUCCUUAUGCCUUCCCAGAAAUCCUAUUAUUUUCAAUUAUAUUCCAAAUAGAGAAGAUGCUUCUCUGUCCUCCGCAUCACUCACUUUCAAUGGUGCAAGGGAACCAUCCGGAAGGCCCAAAGGGUCCCGAGAGAUGUUGGGUUAUAAAGUGGUAACAAACGUUCCCCAAGUGCCUGUGGCUCCACGUCAUCUGUGGUUCUCACGACACAGCCAGUGGGGGUCCCUCAUGGUGGUUCAGGGACCCCUAAUAAUGGAGGGCUGUUGUCCACAUGGGUACCCACGAGCCCCGUGGACGAAAGAAGGGACCUCUCAGGGCUCUCACCUUGGCGAUGAGAUCUCCAGCUUGAAAACACUUCCACAACAGCUAGCCCAGCGGUCACACCCAUCUGCCGGGCUGGGGAUCUCUAUCUCCGGGUCUAGGAGGAGGAACAGGUGAAAUAGGCAUCCCUCCAGGACACCGUGCACACGCUCUCAGGGACAAGCAGAGGGCUGCAUGGAAAGACAGGGCAGCAAAGUAUUUUCAAAACUUUAACUGAACGGUGAAAGUCAAGGAUUACAUGGUUUGAACGUAAUAUGCUUAGUCGCACAUUUGCCCUCCCCAGCCAUUUGGGUUGCGUGGCCUCAGGCAAAUCAUUAACCCAUGGGACAUCCACAUCAUUGCAGAUACGGAGGCUCAGUGGGUCUGGAUCAGUGGUUCCCAAACCUGAGUGGGCUUUAGAUCGGGGAGGACUUAUUAAAGCUUUAGCUGUAGGACCUCAGCCCUAGUAUCUCUGAUUCAGCAGG
Non-coding RNA from Delphinapterus leucas (beluga whale), 8679 nucleotides. The record is from RefSeq and is a predicted model, not a curated record. NCBI's taxonomy places the organism in Eukaryota, Metazoa, Chordata, Mammalia, Artiodactyla, Monodontidae.